Molecule: long non-coding RNA, 1074 nt
Filed under: Carassius auratus (goldfish)
Lineage: Eukaryota; Metazoa; Chordata; Actinopteri; Cypriniformes; Cyprinidae
Description: lncRNA (ENSCARG00000055761.1)
Source: RNAcentral
AUGCGAUUGUGUUUGUGUGAUAUUAACAGUGUGACAGUUUCUCAUAAAAACAAACGGCUGACAUUUACAUAUAAUAUAUUUCGCAUUCUCAAAUGUGCAUUUUCAUAUCAAGUAUCAGUAUUACAAUCAACAUUUGGCAAAUUGCAUAAUCUCCAUAUGCAUAUAGCUUCCGACAGAUUCACAUUAAAGUGCUAUAGGUGAUCACUCUUAUAGGGGAUUUUCCAUGGGUCAUAAAAAUAGCAUUAAGUGAACAUUUACAGUAAGCAGUCCUUAUUUGUACAGCUUUUAUUGAUGAUUCUCAACCCCAGAACUUGGGAACGGGCCAGUUUUUUCCAUCUAACUAAUAGGUGUAUACGAAACUACAGCACCAAUGUCAAAAAUAAAUGGGCACACUUGGGGUUUUCUCACGUAAAAGGUCUCUGAGGUCGUCUGUGGGGACGACACACAGAGAGGAUUUUGCAUGAGACACCAAGUGCUAGUUGGAUGAAAAAACUCGGCCCCUUGAUGCACCCUUCAGACUGAAGUUGAGAACGACUGCAUAAGAACUUUAAAGAGGAAGAACUGUUGAGUUUGAAGGAGAGUUUGCAAUUAACUGAUGUGCAGUAAGCCACAUCUUAAAUCAAACAUUUUAACUGUAUACUUUUUCUUGUCCAUAAACUUUCAGGGACAAAUUUGCAUGCAAAUUACAUGCAAAGAGAUUUUAGAAUAUGAAAGAUAAUGAUAUUUGAAAUAGCGCAGAUAAUGUGCUUGACUGGCUGAGUUUUCGCUUUAUAGACUUUAUAGACAAAGAAUGAAAAACAAUGAACAGAAAGCAAGUAAAACAAUACAAAAUGUAUAGAAGAUAAAUAUAUAUAAAUGAUGACUAUAAUUAAUCUUAUACAACUAGUUAAUUAUCUUAAUACUGACCUUAGAAUUGGCCUUGAGACAUGUAAAAGUUUUGUUCUUUGUUCUAAAUUAUACUGUACAAUACUUAAACCACUUAAUCAACGUAAGAAUAAGUACUAGGCUAAUACUAAUAAGAAAUAUUUCUACAUAAUCAUAAAGAAAUAAUUCAGAAGUUGUUCUGGUGGAUGG